CCAAUCACCACGAAUCAAGAAUCAGCUGGUGGAGCAGCAUCAAAGCUCAGUGCUUUUUAAACCGUAAUCGUAACUUAACUCCAAAUGAGCAACAAGUAGAUGGAUGGCAGAAAAUUAAACUCACACUCAAUAUAGCUAAAUUGCCUGUCUAUCGCAAAUGGAUUGCUCCUGCGGCCUGAACUCGAUCAUAUGUACCUUGUUUGGUGUCUGAAUAAAUUGCUAUUUAUGCCAAAAGAGGCACAACAAAAUCGUUCAAAUAGUCAGCAGUUGGUCAGCUAGCAAAUACCCCAAAAUGACAAACAAAGCAAUACCCGAAAUUCCA
Drosophila santomea is the source of this 322-nucleotide long non-coding RNA. RefSeq lists it as uncharacterized. NCBI's taxonomy places the organism in Eukaryota, Metazoa, Arthropoda, Insecta, Diptera, Drosophilidae. The transcript is spliced from 2 exons. The record is from RefSeq and is a predicted model, not a curated record.